This 260-nucleotide ribosomal RNA is filed under the name uncultured archaeon. RNAcentral's name for it is "partial 16S ribosomal RNA". It matches the Rfam family "Archaeal small subunit ribosomal RNA", at positions 748 to 1009 of the family's 1478-position model. The record is from RNAcentral.
UAGCCGUAAACGAUACUCGCUAGGUGUCGGCCACGGUGCGACCGUUGUCGGUGCCGUAGGGAAGCCGUGAAGCGAGCCACCUGGGAAGUACGGCCGCAAGGCUGAAACUUAAAGGAAUUGGCGGGGGAGCACCACAACGGGUGGAGCUUGCGGUUUAAUUGGAUUCAACGCCGGAAUCUUACCGGGACCGACAGCAACAUGAAGGCCAGGCUGAAGACUUUGCCGGAUUAGCUGAGAGGAGGUGCAUGGCGUAGUCGUGU